CCUGUCCCAAAGCCUUAAAUCAAAUUUAACUUUUAAGUGAAAAGGCUUAAAUAUUCUUAAAAGACGACAAGACCCUAUAAAACUUUAUAAAAAGAUUAUAACUUUAAAUUUAGGAGUUUAUUUAUCUUAUUCAAUCUUAUUUAUUUCGUUGGGGCGACGAAAGCAUAUUUAACCUGCUCUUUAUUUCAUCACAAUUUUUUUUGUUGUAUUUGACCCUUUUUUAAGAUUAAAAGAAAAAGUUACUUUAGGGAUAACAGCGUAAUUUUAUUUGAGAGUUCCUAUCGACAAUGAAGUUUGCGACCUCGAUGUUGAAUUAAAGUCUCAUUACAAUGCAGCCGUUGUAAUUGUAGGUCUGUUCGACCUUUAAAACUUUACAUGAUUUGAGUUCAAACCGGCGUGAG
RNAcentral lists this ribosomal RNA (401 nucleotides) under Rayllianassa cf. amboinensis NHMW 25915. Its description in RNAcentral is "partial large subunit ribosomal RNA". It matches the Rfam family "Bacterial large subunit ribosomal RNA", at positions 2048 to 2625 of the family's 2925-position model. Lineage: Eukaryota; Metazoa; Arthropoda; Malacostraca; Decapoda; Callianassidae. The record is from RNAcentral.